UUCGCAAUGCCCGAAAGGGUGACGAAGCGACGCCGCGUGGGUGAAGAAGGCCUUCGGGUUGUAAAACCCUGUCAGGAGUUAUGAAAUGUAAGUGCGCUAAUAUCGUGCUUAUUUGACAAAGGCUCCAAAGGAAGCCACGGCUAACUCUGUGCCAGCAGCCGCGGUAAUACAGAGGUGGCGAGCGUUGUUCGGAAUUAUUGGGCGUAAAGAGCACGUAGGUGGGUUUGCAAGUCAGAUGUGAAAGCCUUCUGUUCAACGGAAGAAUUGCAUCUGAAACUGCUAAUCUUGAGUAUAGGAGGGGAGAAUGGAACUUCUGGUGGAGCGGUGAAAUGCGUAGAUAUCAGAAGGAACGCCGGCGGCGAAAGCGAUUCUCUGGCCUAUUACUGACACUCAGUGUGCGAAAGCUAGGGGAGCAAACGGGAUUAGAUACCCCGGUAGUCCUAGCCGUAAACGAUGGGCACUAAGUAGA
Molecule: ribosomal RNA, 469 nt
Filed under: uncultured bacterium
Lineage: Bacteria
Description: bacterial SSU rRNA
Rfam family: Bacterial small subunit ribosomal RNA
Source: RNAcentral